This 434-nucleotide ribosomal RNA is filed under the name uncultured bacterium. RNAcentral describes it as "bacterial SSU rRNA". It matches the Rfam family "Bacterial small subunit ribosomal RNA", at positions 29 to 506 of the family's 1533-position model. The record is from RNAcentral.
AUGAACGCUAGCGGCGUGCUUUGAAUAUGCAAGUAGAACGGGUCUCGCAAGAGAUCAGUUGCGAACGGCUGAGUAAUGGAUAGGAAUCUACCUUUUGAUGUGGAAUACCCCUGCGAAAGCAGGGCUAAUACCGCAUAAGACCUACGGGUGAAAGCACUUAACUGUGCGUCGAAAGAUGAGCCUAUUUCCCAUCAGCUUGUUGGUAUGGUAAUGGCCUACCAAGGCUAUGACGGGUAGGGGGCGUGAGAGCGUGACCCCCCAGAAUGGGACUGAGACACGGCCCAUACACCUACGUGUGGCAGCAGCUGGGAAUCGUACACAAUGGACGAAAGUCUGAUGUCGCGACGCCGCGUGGAGGAUUGAAGGCCUUAGGGUCGUAAACUUCUUUUGACGUGUGUGAGACCGCACGUAGAAUAAGCACCUGCUAACUCUGU